GGGUUGUGAGGUUAAGCGACUAAGCGUACACGGUGGAUGCCCUGGCAGUCAGAGGCGAUGAAGGGCGUGCUAAUCUGCGAUAAGCGCCGGUAAGGUGAUAUGAACCGUUAUAACCGGCGAUACCGAAUGGGGAAACCAGUGAUUCGUCACACUAUCAUUAACUGAAUCCAUAGGUUAAUGAGGCGAACCGGGAACUGAAACAUCUAAGUACCCGAGGAAAAGAAAUCAACCGAGAUUCCCCAGUAGCGGCGAGCGAACGGAGGAGCCCAGAGCCUGAAUCAGCAUGUGUUAGUGGAAGCGUCUGGAAAGGCGCGCGAUACAGGUGACAGCCCGUACACAAAAGCGCAUGUGCUGUGAGCUCGAUGAGUAGGGCGGGACACGUGGUAUCCUGUCUGAAUAUGGGGACCAUCCUCCAAGGCUAAAUACUCCUGACUGACCGAUAGUGAACCAGUACCGUGAGGAAAGGCGAAAAGAACCCGGCGAGGGAGUGAAAAGAACCUGAAACCGUGUACGUAAGCAGGAGCACAGGUUUACCUGUGUGACUGCGUACCUUUUGUAUAAUGGGUCAGCGACUUAUAUUCUGUAGCAAGGUUAACCGUAUAGGGGAGCCGCAGGGAAACCGAGUCUUAACCGGGCGUUAAGUUGCAGGGUAUAGACCCGAAACCCGGUGAUUCAGCAGGUUGAAGGUUGGUAACACUAACUGGAGGACCGAACCGACUAAUGUUGAAAAUUAGCGGAUGACCUGUGGCUGGGGUGAAAGGCCAAUCAAACCGGGAGAUAGCUGGUUCUCCCCGAAAGCUAUUUAGGUAGCGCCUCGUGAAUUCAUCUCCGGGGGUAGAGCACUGUUUCGGCUAGGGGGCCAUCCCGGCUUACCAACCCGAUGCAAACUGCGAAUACCGGAGAAUGUUAUACACGGCGGGUGCUAACGUCCGUCGUGAAGAGGGAAACAACCCAGACCGCCAGCUAAGGUCCCAAAGUCAUGGUUAAGUGGGAAACGAUGUGGGAAGGCCCAGACAGCCAGGAUGUUGGCUUAGAAGCAGCCAUCAUUUAAAGAAAGCGUAAUAGCUCACUGGUCGAGUCGGCCUGCGCGGAAGAUGUAACGGGGCUAAACCAUGCACCGAAGCUGCGGCAGCGACACUCAGGUGUUGUUGGGAGGUAAGCCUGAAGGUGGCCUGUGAGGGUUGCUGGAGGUAUCAGAAGUGCGAAUGCUGACAUAAGUAACGAUAAAGCGGGUGAAAAGCCCGCUCGCCGGAAGACCAAGGGUUCCUGUCCAACGUUAAUCGGGGCAGGGUGAGUCGACCCCUAAGGCGAGGCCGAAAGGCGUAGUCGAUGGGAAACGGGUUAAUAUUCCCUUGGUGUUACUGCGAAGGGGACGGAGAAGGCUAUGUUGGGCGACGGUUGUCCCGGUUUAAGCGUAGGUGUUCCGUAAAUCCGGUUCACUUUAACACUGAGGCGUGAUGACGAGGCACUACGGUGCUGAAGCAACAAAUGCCCUGCUUCCAGGAAAAGCCUCUAAGCAUCAGGUAACAUCAAAUCGUACCCCAAACCGACACAGGUGGUCAGGUAGAGAAUACCAAGGCGCUUGAGAGAACUCGGGUGAAGGAACUAGGCAAAAUGGUGCCGUAACUUCGGGAGAAGGCACGCUGACAUGUAGGUGAAGUGAUUUACUCAUGGAGCUGAAGUCAGUCGAAGAUACCAGCUGGCUGCAACUGUUUAUUAAAACACAGCACUGUGCAAACACGAAAGUGGACGUAUACGGUGACGCCUGCCCGGUGCCGGAAGGUUAAUUGAUGGGUCAAGCGAAGCCCUGAUCGAAGCCCGGUAAACGGCGGCCGUAACUAUAACGGUCCUAAGGUAGCGAAAUUCUUUGUCGGGUAAGUUCCGACCUGCACGAAUGGCGUAAUGAUGGCGCUGUUCCACCCGAGACUCAGUGAAAUUGAACUCGCUGUGAAGAUGCAGUACCCGCGGCAAGACGGAAAGACCCCGUGAACCUUUACUAUAGCUUGACACUGAACAUUGAGCCUUGAUGUAGGAUAGGUGGGAGGUUUGAAGCGUGGACGCCAGUCUGCGUGGAGCCGGCCUUGAAAUACCACCCUUUAAUGUUUGAUGUUCUAACGUGGACCCGUGAUCCGGGUUGCGGACAGUGUCUGGUGGUAGUUUGAUCGGCGGUCCUCCUAAAGAGUAACGGAGGAGCACGAAGGUUGGCUAAUCGGUCGGACAUCAGGAGGUUAGUGCAAUGGCAUAAGCCAGCUUGACUGCGAGCGUGACGGCGCGAGCAGGUGCGAAAGCAGGUCAUAGUGAUCCGGUGGUUCUGAAUGGAAGGGCCAUCGCUCAACGGAUAAAAGGUACUCCGGGGAUAACAGGCUGAUACCGCCCAAGAGUUCAUAUCGACGGCGGUGUUUGGCACCUCGAUGUCGGCUCAUCACAUCCUGGGCUGAAGUAGGUCCAAGGGUAUGGCUGUUCGCCAUUUAAAGUGGUACGCGAGCUGGGUUUAGAACGUCGUGAGACAGUUCGGUCCCUAUCUGCCGUGGGCGCUGGAGAACUGAGGGGGGCUGCUCCUAGUACGAGAGGACCGGAGUGGACGCAUCACUGGUGUUCGGGUUGUCAUGCCAAUGGCACUGCCCGGUAGCUAAAUGCGGAAGAGAUAAGUGCUGAAAGCAUCUAAGCACGAAACUUGCCCCGAGAUGAGUUCUCCCUGAGACUUAAAGUCUCCUGAAGGAACGUUGAAGACGACGACGUUGAUAGGCCGGGUGUGUAAGCGCAGCGAUGCGUUGAGCUAACCGGUACUAAUGAACCGUGAGGCUUAACCUUACAACGCCGAAG
Molecule: ribosomal RNA, 2823 nt
Filed under: Salmonella enterica subsp. enterica serovar Derby
Lineage: Bacteria; Pseudomonadati; Pseudomonadota; Gammaproteobacteria; Enterobacterales; Enterobacteriaceae
Description: 23S ribosomal RNA
Rfam family: Bacterial large subunit ribosomal RNA
Source: RNAcentral